RNAcentral lists this ribosomal RNA (602 nucleotides) under Salmonella enterica subsp. enterica. RNAcentral describes it as "partial 23S ribosomal RNA". It matches the Rfam family "Bacterial large subunit ribosomal RNA", at positions 1 to 631 of the family's 2925-position model. The record is from RNAcentral. RNAcentral also lists the same sequence under 1 other name. Lineage: Bacteria; Pseudomonadati; Pseudomonadota; Gammaproteobacteria; Enterobacterales; Enterobacteriaceae.
GGGUUGUGAGGUUAAGCGACUAAGCGUACACGGUGGAUGCCCUGGCAGUCAGAGGCGAUGAAGGACGUGCUAAUCUGCGAUAAGCGCCGGUAAGGUGAUAUGAACCGUUAUAACCGGCGAUUUCCGAAUGGGGAAACCCAGUGUGAUUCGUCACACUAUCAUUAACUGAAUCCAUAGGUUAAUGAGGCGAACCGGGGGAACUGAAACAUCUAAGUACCCCGAGGAAAAGAAAUCAACCGAGAUUCCCCCAGUAGCGGCGAGCGAACGGGGAGGAGCCCAGAGCCUGAAUCAGCAUGUGUGUUAGUGGAAGCGUCUGGAAAGGCGCGCGAUACAGGGUGACAGCCCCGUACACAAAAGCGCAUGUGCUGUGAGCUCGAUGAGUAGGGCGGGACACGUGGUAUCCUGUCUGAAUAUGGGGGGACCAUCCUCCAAGGCUAAAUACUCCUGACUGACCGAUAGUGAACCAGUACCGUGAGGGAAAGGCGAAAAGAACCCCGGCGAGGGGAGUGAAAAAGAACCUGAAACCGUGUACGUACAAGCAGUGGGAGCACAGGUUUACCUGUGUGACUGCGUACCUUUUGUAUAAUGGGUCAGCGACUUAU